UGAGCCAGCAGGUCUGACUUCAGUCGGGUUUGAAGUCGUCCUGCCCGAGUGUCCCUGAGCUGCGCCACGUGGGUUCCAGCGGCCACCGGGGAUGCUCAGAGCCCUCAGAACACAGCUUGGAGCCGCCAGCCGGGCCUUCGGUGGGCCCCUCACUCUCCACGUCUCUGCCGUCUCUCGGACUCUCACAGCAGGAGGGGCAGAUUCUGGGAAAUCCGGCUCACGAAUGCCAUUACUUUCGGCAACAGAAACAUUUCCCACCGGCCUGUGUGUCCCCCAGCCAGCUCCCCAGCCGGGCCCUGCGCCCUUCCGGCUGCGAGCCCGCCCCAGCUGACCCGCUGGACCGCUGUCCACGGCCAGUCUCAAGGGCAGGGUGUGCGCGGCUUGUCCUUUUUGCCUCUUGUCUGGGAGGCCAGGGCUCCCCACCCAUCACCCUGGAAGUCAGAGCCCAGAUAUCUGACUCCACAUGGAGCUGCCUUCAAACAAAAAUGAAUCCUAGGCCCCAAACAAAAAGUCACACGGGUGUGAUUUCUCAGAAUUUGUUUUUUUAAUGAUUUUCUUUUCUCUCUAAUGAAGGAUGGCUUUGUCGUUCAAGUCGUCAGCUGAUACAGCUGAAUCACUCUUUUCUGGGCAGCACGCAGAAAUAUCCCUACCUGCGCAGGGAAGCGGUAGCUAUGGUAACCGGAUGCAGAGGCCUUCAGCACCUGGCACUGAUGGUUGACGAGCUCCCGUGGCUGCGUCUUGUUCCUAAGAGUCUGUGCCGACUCCAGGUCCCUGAAGCUGGGCUCCUGGGAGGAGCACAGCACGCCAGUGAUGCCCCAGGGACUGUCUGCACUGGACUCUGGACACUGACCCCCUGAGCUCGUCCCUGUGAAGUGUGGGCUGCAGCGCCCGCCCUUUACCUGUGUGCAGCUGGCGUGAGUACUGCACUCGGCCCCCUGCCGGUGCGGUGAGAACGCGGUCAGCGAUCGGGGUGGUUAGUCUGACACCAGCGCCCACCAGGUCCAUCCAGAUCUCUGCUCCCGCUGGCCCAGGGGCAGCCUGCUCCCCUGCCUUUCCCCAGCACAGAGCACCUGGGAACCCCAGGGCGUCACCGUGAGGGACGUCGGGCCAUGGGCCAGGCUUUGGCUGCUGCAGCACCUGAUCUGAGAGGCCCCACCCCAGUGUUGCCUCACGUGAACAGCCUGACUUUAUCACAACUCACUUCCUGAGGCAUUUUGUCUGUAGUCUCCUUGUAUGCUGUCUGUCUUCUGCAGCUACAGUGAAAGGCCCAUGAAGGUGAAGAACUUCAGCUCUACUGGAAGGGGCAGGGGAAGCCACCCUUGGCUUCACUAACAAAGACCCUCAAGACAGGACCAGGUUCCGGGCCUCCAGCUCAGCCAGGCCCUCAGAGCCGGGCGGUGAGGUGAGCAGCCCCGAGCAGCGUGGUUCUCCCUGAUGCCUCGCUCCCCGAGCUCCAUCUCUGUAAUUACGCUGGGACACACUUCUCAUUACAGGCAGCCCGAGAAACCACAAGCGAGCAAGAAGCUGGUUAAGCAAGAAAGAGAAAGGCAAAGGCUGACCUGGUUUGGCUAAAAUGGGAUCUUACCGGAGCCCUUCCUGGGCGGCAGUCUCACCGAGCAGUGCUCUCCAGGGCUCGGCACAGACGCCUUGUUUUCCCUCCCUCUUUUUUUUAUUACAAUGAUUUUUAUUAUGAGUUCUGUCCUUUUUUUGAAUUGAGCAGAAUUACAAAGAGUGAGAAUUACUGCAAGAAUCUGAAUGUUCAGCACGAACAGAGCCUGAGGCGUUCAGCGUUCUCGGAGCCUCUCCUUGGAAAUGUGGGCUUGAACCUAACAAAUGAGCAUCCACGGAAGAUUUGAGGAGAGUGUGUGUUCGGCUUUCCAGAAAUCCAUGCAGCUCGGAGUGACCACGUGAUGUAACUCUUGCCAAGGAGUUUCGCCCAGAAGUCUCUAAGAAGCAUGCCACUUCUUGAAUAAAACGACAAAGCCUGCCUGGAUAAAGGGGUGGUGCCCACAAGUGCCCCAACCACUUUUCUGCCUUGAGAGGAAAGUCACACCAGGAAGGAGAAGAGGGAAGAUGGGGGUGAGGAGACCCUUGGUCCGGACAGCACUGGCCCGGCCCAGCUGCUGAGACCCUCCAGCUGCGACUCGCUGCGACGUGAGAGGCAAAGCCUGGACCUGCUGACGGCUCUGAUCAGCAUCUCCCUCCCGGACAGCCGGGCGCAGUCCUGGCUGUGAACUCCCGGCUCGGCCCACAGGGCAGAGGGGCAAUGCUGGCUGUCGUUUUGAUCCUGGAAACCAGCAUGAGCAUCCCGUUCUAGACGCCCCACGGGACGGGGCUCAGAGCAGACGUUGGCUCUCAGGGCACAACGUCCAAUUUCACCUCAGCCCCGCGCUCCUGGGACACAGCCUCGUGGUCCAGGGACCUGCUCCCUGCAGUAUGACUCAGUGAGCACUCACGGAUGCCCCUGCGUACACCUGUGACCGGAUCAGACACGGCCCCUCCGAAUUCCCGUUCUUUGCCUCCUAAACAAUUGGCUGAUGCGGCCAAUAAGGACAAAGUGCUAACCGACCUGACCACCCGGUGGUCAAGCUCCUUUCAUCCCCGUGGGGCCCUGGGCUCUGCCCCACCCCGAGCCCGACCCAGCACAGCUCCAGCUGGUCCUUGAACACGACGUACGGGUCCGAGCAUGGCUCUUCUUGGCCUGGAGCUCUGAUGGUCAGAGCACCUUGCACUGCAGUGUUUCCUUCUUUUC
This is a non-coding RNA of Vicugna pacos (alpaca), 2752 nucleotides long. The record is from RefSeq and is a predicted model, not a curated record. Lineage: Eukaryota; Metazoa; Chordata; Mammalia; Artiodactyla; Camelidae.